RNAcentral lists this ribosomal RNA (462 nucleotides) under uncultured bacterium. RNAcentral's name for it is "partial 16S ribosomal RNA". It matches the Rfam family "Bacterial small subunit ribosomal RNA", at positions 28 to 507 of the family's 1533-position model. The record is from RNAcentral.
GACGAACGCUGGCGGCGUGCUUAACACAUGCAAGUCGAGCGGAAAGGCCCUUCGGGGUACUCGAGCGGCGAACGGGUGAGUAACACGUGAGUAACCUGCCCCAGACUUUGGGAUAACCCUCGGAAACGGGGGCUAAUACCGGAUACGACACAGCUUCGCAUGGGGUCUGUGUGGAAAGUUUUUCGGUUUGGGUUGGGCUCGCGGCCUAUCAGCUUGUUGGUGGGGUGAUGGCCUACCAAGGCGACGACGGGUAGCCGGCCUGAGAGGGCGACCGGCCACACGGGGACUGAGACACGGCCCAGACUCCUACGGGAGGCAGCAGUGGGGAAUAGUGCACAAUGGGCGGAAGCCUGAUGCAGCGACGCCGCGUGAGGGAUGACGGCCUUCGGGUUGUAAACCUCUUUCAGCAGGGACGAAGCGUAAGUGACGGUACCUGCAGAAGAAGCGCCGGCCAACUACGUG